Molecule: non-coding RNA, 566 nt
Organism: Chelonoidis abingdonii (Abingdon island giant tortoise)
Lineage: Eukaryota; Metazoa; Chordata; Testudines; Testudinidae
Source: RefSeq, a predicted model, not a curated record
GUUAUUAUCCUUCCUGUAUGAGUGAAGGGCAGCAGAACAUACCUAGUCCAUCCUGAUGGAGGGGUGGGUAGGUGAGGAAUAGCUUUUACUGAACUGCAAAGAAGUGACUGAGAACAUCACCCUAAACCAGUGGUCCCCAAACAUUUCACACUGUGCCCUCUUAUCCAUGGCUGUGGACCCUCGGAAGCCGCUGUCAAGAACCGGGGCUGGGAAUGGGGCUGUUGCUUGCUGAAGAGAGGGUGCAGAUGGGUAAGGGGGUCAAGGCUGAGCUAGAAGCCAGAGCCCCAGGCUGAGGGUUGAGUUGGAAAUAGCUGGGACAGAGUGGGGCUGAGUGGUGCUCCCUCCAUAGGGGCUGGCUCAGGCCCUGAGAUGCCUCCAUGAAUGUUCCUCUGUGUCCCCCUAGGAGUCAUGCCCCACAUUAUGGGAACCACUGAACCCUACUCACUAAUCAGGGGCUAGUGAUGCCAAAGCCCAGGGAAAGAGAGAACAAGUGCAGGGCCUCCAGCACUGGAACCAUGUGAAGGGGCUGCAGGAGAGGGGCAAUGGCUGGUGGCACAGGGAGUUAA